UUCCUUGAUUAAUGAAGGAAGUUUCCCUUCACCCGGCUAGUCGCAUUCAUUAGUUCCGUGCCUUUUUUUUGGUUUCGAGAGGGAGCCACAUUAAGGUACAAGAUUUUGACAGUUAAUAAGGUUAUGUGCUGUCACACUCCUGUCAGUGGAAAGCAAAAAGGCGUUAGUACAUUUAUAAAAACGUAAUUUGGCCACAUUUCGCUUGUGUAUAAUGCCAUUAGGAAUUAAAUACGCACGUCACAAUCUCACACUAAUGAUUUUUUCGAAAAGUAAACAAUUUCCUGAUAUGUGGCUAUUUGGUAAACUAGAGUAAUGUGUAUUGUGCCGUAUUAAAUCCCUGACAAUUAUAAGUGACUAAACCUGCAAGAGUGCAACAGCUUGUUAGAAUACAGUGCACAACCAAUACGUUCAAGGUCUUUUAGGCCCGUAGGGGGGUUAUAAGAUAAAGAAUUUUUUUGAAUAAAUAUAACUUUUUUUCCUAGUACUUUGUGUGUAGAGAUUGCAAAAAUUUGCCAACGAUAAUGCCGCAGACACUGCGAUGUUCCUCGCAGGAGAAUAUGGGAUUUUCAUUUAAAUAUGAAACAAUUAUUGUUUUCAAAAUGUAGUCUACAUCUUGCGUAGGCACACUGGAUGAAUAUUUGAGCUUUCCUCUGUCUUGAUUAUAAAUUAAUUCCAAGAGGGGACUUGUUUUUGACUCAAAAUAAUUGGUUAAGGGUACUAGACAAGCAGUACAUUUUACAGUCUCCUCAACUUUUCUUAACAAAUAUCCACAGAGAAAUCCAAUUUCUAACUUAAAUUUCAAAUAAUUACGACGUUUGGCGCGUGAUUUUGGUAACUAUGGUAACAAGAAAAGUUUUCGGAAGAAAUUAACAGAUGGCGAUACAUUAGAGUACGCUGUUAGAACC
Long non-coding RNA from Tribolium madens (black flour beetle), 905 nucleotides. RefSeq lists it as uncharacterized. The record is from RefSeq and is a predicted model, not a curated record. NCBI's taxonomy places the organism in Eukaryota, Metazoa, Arthropoda, Insecta, Coleoptera, Tenebrionidae. The transcript is spliced from 3 exons.